This 1165-nucleotide unclassified non-coding RNA is filed under the name Cakile maritima subsp. euxina. RNAcentral's name for it is "partial external transcribed spacer". The record is from RNAcentral. Lineage: Eukaryota; Viridiplantae; Streptophyta; Magnoliopsida; Brassicales; Brassicaceae.
AAAGAAAAUUUUCUGAAAGGAAACAUCACAAAUAUGUCACUAAAGAGUUUAAGAUGUCAAGUGUUGAUCAAAAGUUGACAUAAACACCMGUAAAGGCCAUGAAAGCUCGAUCAUUAUGGCAUCCAAAAGUCAUGGCUAGAAGCAAAAGAAAAUUAUGAAAAUUUACCAGAAAAUAGCUUCAACCAUCCUUAUGAAGCAUGCAAAAAAUCAGAUUCAAAUUCGAAGUAUUUUUUUUUUUACAUCAAAAAUACUCACGGAACACAAUCAAUGUCUACUGCUGAAAGUCUGAAAAAAAGCCAUUUGUCUAUAUAAGGGGUAGGCACUCUUCAGUGCCUAACCCCCCAAGGUUGGGACGUCYGUAUSGGUGUGGGCAAUGUCCGAGUGCCUAGUGCACGACGACUGUCCGUACGUACGUCCGACCUCCGGGCUGUCUCCGGUGACUUUUCCGGCGACUUUCCGGCGACCGCCAAAAUGACCGUUUUGCCCCUGAAUUUUUUUUUUCGCGCUUGUGCGGUCUUGGCCUGGUUUCGUUUGUCUUCCUGUUGCUCUACUGAUWUUCAUCAGACGAGUGGYAGGAAAGAUCGACGUUAGCGGGGCAAAUGAACGUUCGGCGUAUGAGUGGUGAUUGGAUAGCCAGUGUUUGUAGGCUCUGUGCUCGCGCACCCAACUACAGACCAACUAUCCUUCUCAGUUUCUUCACAAGCAUAGAUAUGCUUGCUGACUUGAUCCUGGGCCUGUGUUGCGUACCUAUCCAGAAGGAAUUCUUGAGCCUUGCUCGAUAUUUUGUUUGCGGCAUCUCCUUCACCGGAGAGGUCGUGAACACAAAAGCCGGCACUUGUGAUCCUUUCGGCUWUUGCAUAAACAAUGCAUUGCUCGAAAAGGUGAACAAGCUGUCAGCUGAAAUCUCGGUUGCGGAAAUCUUAUGGACGGUGACUCGAAGUAAUUCGGUCCCGCCAAGCAUAAUUGUCUCCGGACAAAAGAUGACGGCCAAGACCAUUUCUGUUCCUGCUUUCCUAGYGUUUGCGGGAAUCCUACUUUCCUAGCGUUUGCRGGAAUCUUGCUUUCCUAGCGUUUGCGAGAAUCCUUCUUUCYUAGCGUUUGCGGGAAUUUUGCUUUCCUAGCGUUUGCGGGAAUACGAUUUGGUCUUGCCGUGAUUUAUGAAUGC